UCCGGUUGAUCCUGCCGGAGGCCACCGCUAUUGGAAUCCGCUUAAGGCAUGCGAGUCGAGAGUCUUCGGGACUCGGCGCACUGCUCAGUAACACGUGGACAAUCUACCCUGGGGUGGGGGAUAACCUCGCUAAAGUGAGAACAAUACCCUAUGGACCGAGUCCGCUGGAAUGCUACACGGUUGAAAGCUCCGGCGCCCCAGGAUGAGUUUGCGGCCUAUCAGGUUGUAGUGGGUGUAAAGGACCUACUAGCCUACGACGGGUACGGGCCUUGGGAGAGGUCGCCCGGAGUUGGAUUCUGAGACACGAAUCCAGGCCCUACGGGGCGCAGCAGCCGCGAAACCUCCGCACUGCAGGAAACUGCGAUGGGGGGAAUCCAAGUGCAUGCACAUUGUGUAUGCUUUUCUUAAGUGUACGUAGCUUGAGGAAUAAGGGCUGGGUAAGACCGGUGCCGGCCGCCGCGGUAAUACCGGCAGCCCGAGUGGUGGUCACUAUUAUUGGGCCUAAAGCGUCCGUAGCCGGCUCGGUAAAUCCUUGGGUAAAUCAUCCGGCUUAACCGAAUGACUACCGAGGCGACUGCCGGGCUUGGGACUGGGAGAGGCUAGAGGUACUCAUGGGGUAGGGGUAAAAAUCCAGUAAUCCUAUGGGGACCACCAGUGGCGAAGGCGUCUAGCUGGAACGGCUCCGACGGUAAGGGACGAAGCCCAGGGGCACAAACCGGAUUAGAUACCCGGGUAGUCCUGGGUGUAAACGCUGCGGACUUGGUGUUGGGGGUCCUGCUAGGGCGCCCAGUGCCGGAGAGAAGUUGUUAAGUCCGCCGCCUGGGGAGUACGGUCGCAAGGCUGAAACUUAAAGGAAUUGGCGGGGGAGCACCGCAACGGGUGGAGCGUGCGGUUUAAUUGGAUUCAACGCCGUAAAACUCACCGGGGGCGACGUUUGUAUGAAGGCCAGAUUGAUGAUCUUGCCAGAUUUUACGAGAGGUGGUGCAUGGCCGCCGUCAGUUCGUACCGUAGGGCGUUCUGUUAAGUCAGAUAACGAACGAGACCCCUGCCCCUAUUUGCCAACCCACUCCCAGGAGGGGGCGCACUAUAGGGGGACCGCCAGAGCUAAUCUGGAGGAAGGGGGGGCAACGGUAGGUCAGUAUGCCCCGAAUCCCCCGGGCUACACGCGCGCUACAAAGGGUGGGACAAUGGGAAUCGACACCGAAAGGUGUAGUAAUCCCGAAACCUAUUCGUAGUCCGGACUGAGGGCUGUAACUCGCCCUCACGAAGCUGGAAUCCGUAGUAAUCGUGGAUCAACAUCCCACGGUGAAUAUGCCCCUGCUCCUUGCACACACCGCCCGUCAAACCAUCUGAGUUGGGGGUGGGUGAGGCUUUCUCCUCGUGGGAAGGUCCAGCCCGUCUUCGACAAGGAGGGUUAAGUCGUAACAAGGUA
RNAcentral lists this ribosomal RNA (1432 nucleotides) under metagenome. RNAcentral's name for it is "bacterial SSU rRNA". It matches the Rfam family "Archaeal small subunit ribosomal RNA". The record is from RNAcentral.